GAUGAACGCUGGCGGCGUGCCUAAUACAUGCAAGUCGAGCGAACAGACGAGGAGCUUGCUCCUCUGACGUUAGCGGCGGACGGGUGAGUAACACGUGGAUAACCUACCUAUAAGACUGGGAUAACUUCGGGAAACCGGAGCUAAUACCGGAUAAUAUAUUGAACCGCAUGGUUCAAUAGUGAAAGACGGUUUUGCUGUCUCUUAUAGAUGGAUCCGCGCCGCAUUAGCUAGUUGGUAAGGUAACGCCUUACCAAGGCAACGAUGCGUAGCCGACCUGAGAGGGUGAUCGGCCACACUGGAACUGAGACACGGUCCAGACUCCUACGGGAGGCAGCAGUAGGGAAUCUUCCGCAAUGGGCGAAAGCCUGACGGAGCAACGCCGCGUGAGUGAUGAAGGUCUUCGGAUCGUAAAACUCUGUUAUUAGGGAAGAACAACUGUGUAAGUAACUAUGCACGUCUUGACGGUACCUAAUCAGAAAGCCACGGCUAACUACGUG
Molecule: ribosomal RNA, 497 nt
Filed under: uncultured bacterium
Lineage: Bacteria
Description: partial 16S ribosomal RNA
Rfam family: Bacterial small subunit ribosomal RNA
Source: RNAcentral